This 879-nucleotide long non-coding RNA is filed under the name Homo sapiens (human). RNAcentral's name for it is "non-protein coding lnc-BTG3-8:1". Lineage: Eukaryota; Metazoa; Chordata; Mammalia; Primates; Hominidae. The record is from RNAcentral.
UGUGACAUGGUUAGUACCCUCACUGGCACACCUUACUACAUGAGUCCUCAAUUAUUCUCAAACAAACACUAGAGCUAUAAGUCUGAUGUUUGGACUCUGGGAUGCUGUGUUUGUGAAAUGGUCACCCAAAGCAUACUUUCAAUGUAAAAAUACCAAUUCUUUAGUUUAUGAAAUUAUUGAAGAAAAGCUGCCAGAGAUACCAAUAGAUUAUAGCCCAGAGCUGGCAGAACUGAUAAUAACAGUGCAGAACGGAAGUCCUGAAGAAAGACCCUCUGUGAGGAGCAUCCCAAAACAGUCUAAUGUAAAGCACCAAAUCUUGUUUUUGAAGGCUACAAAGACAAAGUUUUCCAAAAAUAACAUUAAAAGUGAUUACUCUAAAUCCAAAUCUGUUGUUAUAGUGGUUUCUAGAAAGACAGAAUGAAAUCAUGAGUGACCCACCCCCAAUCACACUGUUCAAGGGCUGUGGGAUGUAUGUAAUGAAUGAAGAAAAAUGUUUGUUCGAAGCAAAAGCCAUAGUCAUGGGUCCCUUGAAGUUACCUGCCAGUCUGAAAGGCCAUGCCUAGAAACCAUGCAUGAGUAAUACUGUGUGGUCACUAGCCACAAUCAGGAGGGUAAAUAUUGACAUCUUACCUGCAGAAAGGAGAGACUCAAUGAACUAAGUGGCUUAGUUCAGAAGAAUCAACCAAGACACUUAGAUGCCUUUAGUGACCUAGGAGAUAAAAACAGUAUUUCUUCUUAUGGGCUGCAGAAUAAUACUGAGUCCAGCAAUCUACCUAAAAACCUGACUACCACCUGGUCUUUGGACAAUGUCACCAAGGAAAGAAAUGAACCAGUGAAGCCUCUGCAGCCCCUAAACAAAGACCAAAAGCCAAGGACCAA